Molecule: long non-coding RNA, 368 nt
Filed under: Daphnia magna
Lineage: Eukaryota; Metazoa; Arthropoda; Branchiopoda; Diplostraca; Daphniidae
Description: uncharacterized LOC123469462
Source: RNAcentral
CACGUAGCAAGAUUGAAAGGGGGAAAAAAAACUACGAUUUGGCCCAGAUCCAUUCCAACAGAUUUAACAACUUCAACUUCAACAAUUAGGGACCCAACUGCAUAACAGAUUUAACAGUUUCAAACGUCGACCGCUGCAGAAGCUCGUGUCAUCUAUCGUGAAAUUUUCAAACAUCGACCGCUAUAGUACUUGGCGCUAUCUAUCUUCAAACAUUGACCGCUGUUCAAUCUAAUGCCAUCUAUCUUCUGAAAGUGAACCUUGGGCCAAAAACAUGAAAGUGGUUAAAUGUAAAAAAAGAUAAACAUAACUUUUUUGCUUUUUCUCUUCUUGUCUGAACACAAAUAAAUUCAAUCCAUCAAUGAUGACUA